Molecule: unclassified non-coding RNA, 334 nt
Filed under: soil metagenome
Description: partial contains 5.8S ribosomal RNA, internal transcribed spacer 2, and large subunit ribosomal RNA
Rfam family: 5.8S ribosomal RNA (bases 1-120)
Source: RNAcentral
GAUGAAGAACGUAGCGAAAUGCGAUACGUAAUGUGAAUUGCAGAAUUCAGUGAAUCAUCGAAUCUUUGAACGCACAUUGCGCCUGCCAGCACUCUGGCAGGCAUGCCUGUUCGAGCGUCAUUUCAACCAUCAAGCCCUAGGCUUGCGUUGGAGCCCUGCGGCUGCCGCAGGCCCCUAAAAGCAGUGGCGGGCUCGCUAUCACACCGAGUGCAGUAGAUUACUCUUCGCUCAGGGCGUGUGGCGGGUUACAGCCGUGAAACCCCCUACUUCUCAAGGUUGACCUCGGAUCAGGUAGGAAUACCCGCUGAACUUAAGCAUAUCAAUAAGCGGAGGA